Long non-coding RNA from Mauremys mutica (yellowpond turtle), 285 nucleotides. RefSeq lists it as uncharacterized. The transcript is spliced from 3 exons. The record is from RefSeq and is a predicted model, not a curated record. Lineage: Eukaryota; Metazoa; Chordata; Testudines; Geoemydidae.
AGAUGAGGUUUUUUCUUCUCUCUCUUGAAUACUUCAGAAAUGAUUCAUCUAUCAAAAUUAGCGAGCUGGCCCAAAGGCUUGCCAGUGCUAGCGGGUCAUCUCUGAGCAUCAAAAGAUCGCAGUUCAAGUCCCUGCAGCAAAAGAGAAAAUGUCAGAUGCUCAAGGAAAUGCAGUAGGAUCAAGGCAGCACAAGAUCCUGGUUGCACAAAGGUGAAACUGAGGCAACAGAUCACAGAAGUGCCCAAGAUCACAUAAGUUAAAGGGAGAAACAGGAAAGAACCCAGG